GUGGCUCUUAUCAAAUUUGGCUUCCCUUUAUAAAGGCCGUUUUCCCGUAUUUCGCCAACGGCGGCGGUAACAUUUCCCCCGACCUUUGGUGUAGCGCGCCGCAAUAAAUGCCGAUAGAGGGCGUACCCGCCGACGUUAACUAGUUCCGUUCGGUCGCGUCAGAUCCGCGACUACACCCGCCCGUAGCCGUCCCUUCUGGCCUUUCAGCGCAGCGCCUUCCUCGUCGGCCAUGGACCCGUUAGCCCAUCGAUUUUCUUGGUCUGUAGCUUACAUCGAUCGAGCGAGGAAAAGUAACCGUCCGUACGGUUAACGAAAAGCAGCGCUCCGACAACCGGUCCGGGAGACGACUUUUGGGAUGGUUUUCCGCCCGGAAAUUUGGCGGACGGGGGUAGGGUUCUUUGCCAAGUCGGUCGGGUUUGUCUUCUUUAUAGCAUUCCGGACUCUUAGCGGCGACCCGCGGGCAAUCUUCCGUAACCGGUCGCUCCGGCCGGCGCCGAAGCGGGCCGGCCACGGAGGACGGUGGGAAGGCGAAGUUGUCCGGGCUUGGAGUACCGACCGCUUCUUCCCCACCGCCACGGCGGCCGGAAGGUGGACUCUGCCCCCGGAAAUGGACCGGGUCGAUCGGCCGUCCCGCGCGACCGGACGGUCCUCCUCCGCGGACGGAAAGAAAUGACACCAGAGACAGACGACGUCACAGUUUAUUGAUGGACGGUUGGCCGGUCUUCUUUCUGCUGUGCCGGGUGGAGAGAAAGCGGGGAGGAAGCGGUGGAGGUGAGGAAGGAGUGGCGGAAACAAUGGAGUGGCAAGCCAGUGGACAGAAGACAGACAAAGCCGCGCGCACUCUUUUCUCCCGGAGGCCUCGGUCCGCCUCUUCCUCCUCUUCCGGAGGCAAAAUGGCGGAUGGGAGCAUCCGGGAGAGUCACCCGGCAGACGUUAAAGCGUGAAGGAAAACAGGGGAUCGGAUUAGACAGAUUCGAGCGGAGGGAAAGAAGUAAAAGUCUCGACAUUCGGGACAUACCUGGGUUAGAGUCAAGGAGGACUAGUCGGGAGUAAUGGCGGGACCAGGACGGGAGUCGCCGGCUAACCGCGGCACACACCAGAAAGACCGGAGCACUACUGCCGUCCGCCUCCGCCCCGGACAAAGAGUUCCCGGCCGGCCGCUAGGGACCGGUUUCUGGUCCGCGGCCGGCCGAAUAGACGGCGGACUUCACUUCCGCAGCCCGCAACUUCCCACCGGAAGCUGCCUCCUUCUUCCGGUACAGGAUAGCCGUGGAGAUUCUUCGGUCGGGCUUCCAUUCUUCCCUGCAAAUCUGGUACUAAAUGCGACUAAACAGAUCCGCCGCACCUAGCGCGGAAAAUUAACGCCACCGGUUUACGGCCUUCACCUAGACCGAGGGAAAGAUUCCCCGUCUUUCCUAGUUCUCAUUGCAUUCGUCGUAUCUGUUCCCUAUUUCCUCUCGAAAUCGGGAUCGUUCGGUUGUCGACGGUAAGGACACCGCUUCUCGGAUACCAGAAAUUUCGUUUCUAACGGUGUUGAUUACUGUUUGACCUUAUUCUGUCUAGCAUUCUUUUCUUUCCUUUCUUCUGGUUGUUUGUCGUUCGCGUAUGUGUUUUUGAAAAUAGCAUUUUUCCACCUACUUAAUAAAGCUUACACACGACGUCGGUGGCGUCACUAGAGGGAUACGGAGGACUAUAGAUUUUAAGUUGGGCGAUACCCAAUGUUUUCGAACGUAUAUUAAAAAAUUACAUUUUUGCCAAUUUUAAAACCCG
RNAcentral lists this long non-coding RNA (1770 nucleotides) under Androctonus crassicauda. Lineage: Eukaryota; Metazoa; Arthropoda; Arachnida; Scorpiones; Buthidae. The record is from RNAcentral.